CUAAUACAUGCAAGUCGAGCGAACAGAUGAGAAGCUUGCUUCUCUGAUGUUAGCGGCGGACGGGUGAGUAACACGUGGGUAACCUACCUAUAAGACUGGGAUAACUCCGGGAAACCGGGGCUAAUACCGGAUAAUAUUUUGAACCGCAUGGUUCAAUAGUGAAAGACGGUUUCGGCUGUCACUUAUAGAUGGACCCGCGCCGUAUUAGCUAGUUGGUAAGGUAACGGCUUACCAAGGCGACGAUACGUAGCCGACCUGAGAGGGUGAUCGGCCACACUGGAACUGAGACACGGUCCAGACUCCUACGGGAGGCAGCAGUAGGGAAUCUUCCGCAAUGGGCGAAAGCCUGACGGAGCAACGCCGCGUGAGUGAUGAAGGUCUUCGGAUCGUAAAACUCUGUUGUUAGGGAAGAACAAAUUUGUUAGUAACUGAACAAGUCUUGACGGUACCUAACCAGAAAGCCACGGCUAACUACGUGCCAGCAGCCGCGGUAAUACGUAGGUGGCAAGCGUUAUCCGGAAUUAUUGGGCGUAAAGCGCGCGUAGGCGGUUUCUUAAGUCUGAUGUGAAAGCCCACGGCUCAACCGUGGAGGGUCAUUGGAAACUGGGAAACUUGAGUGCAGAAGAGGAGAGUGGAAUUCCAUGUGUAGCGGUGAAAUGCGCAGAGAUAUGGAGGAACACCAGUGGCGAAGGCGGCUCUCUGGUCUGUAACUGACGCUGAUGUGCGAAAGCGUGGGGAUCAAACAGGAUUAGAUACC
This 757-nucleotide ribosomal RNA is filed under the name Mammaliicoccus sciuri. RNAcentral describes it as "bacterial SSU rRNA". It matches the Rfam family "Bacterial small subunit ribosomal RNA", at positions 48 to 786 of the family's 1533-position model. Lineage: Bacteria; Bacillati; Bacillota; Bacilli; Caryophanales; Staphylococcaceae. The record is from RNAcentral.